AAUAGAUACCCAGGUAGUCCAUGCCGUAAACGUUGGGCGCUAGAUGUGGGGACCAUUCCACGGUUUCCGUGUCGCAGCUAACGCAUUAAGCGCCCCGCCCGGGGAGUACGGCCGCAAGGCUAAAACUCAAAGGAAUUGACGGGGGCCCGCACAAGCGGCGGAGCAUGCGGAUUAAUUCGAUGCGACGCGAAGAACCUUACCAAGGCUUGACAUAUACGAGAACGCUGCAGAAAUGUAGAACUCUUUGGACACUCGUAUACAGGUGGUGCAUGGUUGUCGUCAGCUCGUGUCGUGAGAUGUUGGGUUAAGUCCCGCAACGAGCGCAACCCUCGUUCUAUGUUGCCAGCACGUAAUGGUGGGAACUCAUAGGAGACUGCCGGGGUCAACUCGGAGGAAGGUGGGGAUGACGUCAAAUCAUCAUGCCCCUUAUGUCUUGGGCUUCACGCAUGCUACAAUGGCCGGUACAAAGGGCUGCAAUACCGUAAGGUGGAGCGAAUCCCAAAAAGCCGGUCUCAGUUCGGA
Molecule: ribosomal RNA, 522 nt
Filed under: uncultured bacterium
Lineage: Bacteria
Description: bacterial SSU rRNA
Rfam family: Bacterial small subunit ribosomal RNA
Source: RNAcentral